UACGAGCUGAAUUAAAGUGAAACCGCAAAAGGCUCAGUAAACCGGUCAUAGUUUACCGGAUAUAUGCCACUAACGUGGAUAACUGUGGUAAUUCUAGAGCUAAUACAUGAAAACAAGUCCCGACCAGCGAUGGAGAGGACGCUUUUAUUGGAUCAAAACCAUUCGCCCGUUUAUUCGGGCGUCUUCUUGAUGAUUCUAGAUAACACCACAGAUCGCAUGGUCUUUGUACCGAUGACGUAUCCUUCAAAUGUCUGACUUAUCAGCUGUCGAUGGUAGACUCUGUGUCUACCAUGGCUCUCACGGGUGACGGGGAAUCAGGGUUCGAUUCCGGAGAGGGAGCCUGAGAAACGGCUACCACAUCCAAGGAAGGCAGCAGGCACGCAAAUUACCCACUCCCGGCACGGGGAGGUAGUGACAAAAAAUAACGAUACGGGACUCAUCCGAGGCCCCGUAAUCGGAAUGAGAACACCCUAAAUCCUAUAACGAGGAUCUAUUGGAGGGAAAGUCUGGUGCCAGCAGCCGCGGUAAUUCCAGCUCCAAUAGCGUAUAUUAAAGUUGUUGCGGUUAAAAAGCUCGUAGUUGGUUUUGCGUGCCACGCUGUCGGUUCACCGCCUGCCGGUGCAACUGGCAUGCCGUGGCAUGUCCUGUCGGUGGCUGAUAGGCACACUUCGUGCGCCAUGCGGUUCUGCUGUGUGGGUUGUCGCGUUAGUGUUGUCCUUGUAAGCCGGCUCAAUCCUACCGCGGUGCUCUUUACCGAGUGUCGAGGUAGGCCGACACUGUUUACUUUGAACAAAUUAGAGUGCUUAAAGCAGGCUCUUAAAUCAGCCUGAAUAGUGGUGCAUGGAAUAAUGGAACAGGACCUUGGUUCUAUUUUGUUGGUUUUAGGAAUCCAAGGUAAUGAUCAAUAAGGACAGGCGGGGGCAUUCGUAUUGCGACGUUAGAGGUGAAAUUCUUGGAUCGUCGCAAGACGCACUAGAGCGAAAGCAUUUGCCAAGUAUGUCCUAAUUGAUCAAGAACGAAAGUUAGAGGUUCGAAGGCGAUCAGAUACCGCCCUAGUUCUAACCAUAAACGAUGCCAGCCAGCGAUCCGCCGAUGUUCCUCCGAUGACUCGGCGGGGAGCUUUCCCCGGGAAACCAAAGCUUUUGGGUUCCGGGGGAAGUAUGGUUGCAAAGCUGAAACUUAAAGGAAUUGACGGAA
This 1197-nucleotide ribosomal RNA is filed under the name Delacampius lateralis. Its description in RNAcentral is "SSU rRNA". It matches the Rfam family "Eukaryotic small subunit ribosomal RNA", at positions 64 to 1161 of the family's 1831-position model. The record is from RNAcentral. Lineage: Eukaryota; Metazoa; Arthropoda; Insecta; Hemiptera; Largidae.